Molecule: unclassified non-coding RNA, 353 nt
Filed under: soil metagenome
Description: partial contains 5.8S ribosomal RNA, internal transcribed spacer 2, and large subunit ribosomal RNA
Rfam family: 5.8S ribosomal RNA (bases 1-120)
Source: RNAcentral
GAUGAAGAACGCAGCGAAAUGCGAUAACUAAUGUGAAUUGCAGAAUUCAGUGAAUCAUCGAGUCUUUGAACGCACAUUGCGCCCCCUGGUAUUCCGGGGGGCAUGCCUGUUCGAGCGUCAUUACAACCCUCAGGCCCCCGGGCCUGGCGUUGGGGAUCGGCGGAAGCCCCCUGCGGGCACAACGCCGUCCCCCAAAUACAGUGGCGGUCCCGCCGCAGCUUCCAUUGCGUAGUAGCUAACACCUCGCAACUGGAGAGCGGCGCGGCCACGCCGUAAAACACCCAACUUCUGAAUGUUGACCUCGAAUCAGGUAGGAAUACCCGCUGAACUUAAGCAUAUCAAUAAGCGGAGGA